UACGAAGGGGGCUAGCGUUGUUCGGAUUUACUGGGCGUAAAGCGCACGUAGGCGGAUUGUUAAGUUAGGGGUGAAAUCCUGGAGCUCAACUCCAGAACUGCCUUUGAUACUGGCAAUCUCGAGUCCGGAAGAGGUAAGUGGAACUCCUAGUGUAGAGGUGGAAUUCGUAGAUAUUAGGAAGAACACCAGUGGCGAAGGCGGCUUACUGGUCCGGUACUGACGCUGAGGUGCGAAAGCGUGGGGAGCAAACAGG
Molecule: ribosomal RNA, 253 nt
Filed under: uncultured bacterium
Lineage: Bacteria
Description: partial 16S ribosomal RNA
Rfam family: Bacterial small subunit ribosomal RNA
Source: RNAcentral